This is a long non-coding RNA of Talpa occidentalis (Iberian mole), 287 nucleotides long. RefSeq lists it as uncharacterized. The record is from RefSeq and is a predicted model, not a curated record. The transcript has 4 exons. NCBI's taxonomy places the organism in Eukaryota, Metazoa, Chordata, Mammalia, Eulipotyphla, Talpidae.
UUUCUUGUAAUAAGCAUAACAGCCUCUGAGGCUAUCUUAACACAGACUAGGUUUGGAGUGAUUGAUGGGUCUUUGCUGGGAUCUGGGCCUGUGGUUCUGAGAAGAAACUCGAGCUGUCAGGGCAUCUGCAGGACUGCAUAUUGACAAGGGCCAAGAACUCCAAACAAACUAAGUGCCCAAUAACAGUUGAGUGGAUAAAGAAGAUGUGGUCUCUAUACUCAGUGGAAUACCACUCAGGGACAUCCUAGACCCCCUGCAUGGAUGCCUGAUCUGUGACAAGUACCAAG